Molecule: long non-coding RNA, 396 nt
Filed under: Triticum aestivum (bread wheat)
Lineage: Eukaryota; Viridiplantae; Streptophyta; Magnoliopsida; Poales; Poaceae
Description: long non-coding RNA (TAES_LNC005852)
Source: RNAcentral
UGUAACAUCAAAUUUACUGUGAGAAAUAUAUUUUCAUAUUAUAUAUAUUUUAUAUUGUAGAGCUCAAUAGAUUUUUCUUUAGACUUGGCCAUUUUUCUUAAGAAAAUCGUAGAACUACAAUUAUUUUGCAACAAGUAAAACUUGUAACAAGCCAAAGGACUUCAAGUACAUUUAGGAAAGGAGAAAAUAGCACACAUAAACUAUUUAUUCGUUCUUACACACUGAUGCGAGUAGGUAGGUAAAUACACACGACACGUCCACAUAUGACUCAUGACGGCUCAGCGGCACUUAUUUAUGGCUAACUCAGUAGCUAGCUCUACUACUAGUGCAUCAGUUCACGACUAGUGGCGCGUCGACGCGUCGGCCACCGAUCAGGCGGUCGCCGAGCCGCAUGAA